This 345-nucleotide unclassified non-coding RNA is filed under the name soil metagenome. Its description in RNAcentral is "partial contains 5.8S ribosomal RNA, internal transcribed spacer 2, and large subunit ribosomal RNA". The stretch from base 1 to 120 matches the Rfam family "5.8S ribosomal RNA", at positions 35 to 154 of the family's 154-position model. The record is from RNAcentral.
GAUGAAGAACGCAGCGAAAUGCGAUACGUAAUGUGAAUUGCAGAAUUCAGUGAAUCAUCGAGUCUUUGAACGCACAUUGCGCCCCCUGGUAUUCCCGGGGGCAUGCCUGUCCGAGCGUCAUUGCUGCCCUCAAGCACGGCUUGUGUGUUGGGCCUCCGUCCUCCUCCCGGGGGACGGGCCCGAAAGGCAGCGGCGGCACCGCGUCCGGUCCUCGAGCGUAUGGGGCUUCGUCACCCGCUCUUGUAGGCCCGGCCGGCGCUUGCCGACACAUCAAUCUUUUUUCCAGGUUGACCUCGGAUCAGGUAGGGAUACCCGCUGAACUUAAGAAUAUCAAUAAGCGGAGGA